This 2505-nucleotide long non-coding RNA is filed under the name Marmota monax (woodchuck). The record is from RNAcentral. Lineage: Eukaryota; Metazoa; Chordata; Mammalia; Rodentia; Sciuridae.
GUUAAUCCCAGCUGUCUAAUGGGAAAAUAGCUACCACCUGAAAAAAGUAGGCCAAAAAUCAAAGAGAAGCACCAUUUUGUGUGUGUGUGUUACUUUAGGAUACCGCUUUAAUCUAAGGUCUCUCCUUCUGCUGUGGGAAUGGAGGUCCAUGGUUUGCCUUUAAAACUGAUAAGCUGCUGGGCUGGGCUUGUGGCUCAGUGGCAGAGUGCUUGCCUGGAGCAUGUGAGGAGCUGUGUUUGAUCCUCAGCACCAAUAAAAAAUUAAGUAAACAAAGUAAAGAUUGUGACUAGUAUACCUAACAAACAAACAACAACAACAACAGCAACGGCAACAAAAAACUGAUAAGCUCCUCACUGACCACGCAUUCUCUACAAAAUCUUUCACAAGUUUACAAACCCAGUCUCUGUUCAAACACAUUGGUAAACAGACAAUCACACAAGUAUAUCACAGCAAAUUCGAUGAUGGAAAGAUGGAUGGGGAUUUGGUGAGUCCCUAGUGGAGGGUGACUGAGUCUCCUACCUCGUGCUGUGAAAGGAAGGAUCACAAAGGAGGUGCAACAUGCUGUGGGUGUGGAGGCUUCGGGAGCUACGUCAGGAGAGCCAGGCCUUCACCAGAAGGAUAUUUUAUUCACUUUCCCCAUCUACUACCACUUAAUAUAUGGUGGGCAAUUUAGGCCUUGGCUCAGACCUCAGCCACCGUCAUUCUACAGACAUCUCAAGUUUUUUUUUUGUGCCAGGAUGCAACAACUUUAACCAAGGAAUGAUUUCAGGAAAAUAAGAAGAUUUGGGGAUCAAAAGGAAAUUCUGGAGGACUGGCAUGUGAAAUAAGCAUAUGCAAAUGAAAUGAUAUUAAAUACACUGAUAACAAUUUUCUGAACAUUCCUUAAGUCACUUUUCCCAAAUCAGGCCACCUGCCUAGGUACACUCAAUUUUUGACAAGCUCUGUAAUCCACUCUUUUAACUUCAGUUGGUCUUCUGGGAUCAGAGCAAGAAAGUAGAGGGUGGGCACCAGAUUGCCACAUUUGCUUGAUUCCCAUCAACCCCUGAUGAUGUCUAUAUGCCUCUAUGUCAUCACCACUGGCCAGGGUGAUCUUGUGGGCAUGUAUUACAAUAACCUUCCAGAUUGGCGGGGCACAAUAAAUUUUGAACCAUGACUUGAAAGGGUGUCCACUGUUAUAUCAUUAGCUAUGAACUUCAUUUUUGUAAAAAUUAGGGAAUUAGAUAAUUUAGGAGGAUAACAGAGUUGUUGGUAACUUAUGGAGUAAACUUAUAAUUUGGCAUUAUCUAAGAUGGAGAAAGGAACAUUUUUCUUUUUGAGAUGACUCUUCUUGGUGGGGCUAUACUAAUGGAUCCUGAAGCAAAUAAAAUUUAUCUAACAGUGGUGGUUCUUUACCUCUUUUCUACUAUAAUAGAUAUGCUCACAUAUAAAACACUAUCAUGGGUGAGUGUAGAUUCAGAUGUGUGAAUUACUGCUUGGAUAAAAGAUAUUUUGGAUAAUGCACCAAUAACAUACUCUAGUUUCUUCCAGUUGAGAGCUGAAUGCAAAGCAGUAAAGGUCUUGUUCCUUGUUCCCACAGUGUCUCUGGCCUAGAUUAACGCAAGCAAAUUCAAAGAUCCAGGACAGAUGUGGAAUGAUGUAAGUGGCGGAGAUGGAGUGGGGAGUGUGUGGGAGGACACAUCAGUCAGUGUGUUUUCUGCUGGAGAGAAAAGAUUUUAAGCAACUAAAAUGUGAGUCGGAGGGUAUAUUGUGGUUUGCCUCUUGCUAGGUGUACCCAUGGAAGUAUUUUGUAUAUAUAGUCACACAAGAUGUAGCAGAAUAAAAAAAAAGCUGGAAAAUUGCUACUAAUUGAGACUUUGAAAAAUGAUCAUGAUCUCAGUUAAGAAUGAAGUGAUAUAUUAGAGUAAACCCUAUUUCUCUGGAUUUGUGACAAUCUGGGCUAUUUUUGGUAAACUAUUAGUGGGUCAUACUAGGUUUCUCGGCCUAGCAUCUGGAGAACAACACAAUUUCAGGACUUUUAUGAAGAAAAGAAGGGAUGUUGAAAUUACACAUAGAACCAGUCUGGGAUUUCAACAUUCUUUUUGCUUUUAGUAAAUGGAAACAAUUUUUUUGAAGAUCAGUAUCUCAAAAUAUAUGGCCUUUUGAGAGGAGCUCUGCUGUGUCAUCCAAGAUUUUUUAGAAGAUAAAACUAGCAAAAGUUUUGGUAGUUGUGCUUGUUUUCAGCCACUCUGAUGAAGAAUUAAUUUUCAUCUUUCAAUGGAUAAUGCAUGUUUAUAAAAGCCUUAACUAGUAUCAUGAAAAUACUAUGGGAAUUGGAGUUGAAAAUCAUGAACCUGGAUUUUAUGAAUGAGUUAACUAGUUAAAUAUUCAUUGUACUCCUACUACAUGUUCUACAUCAUGCCAACAAGGAUGGAUCAGAUUAGCUCUGUCUCUGAAAGUAGUACAACCCGUGGAUCAUAAAUUAUUUAUCGAUAUGAACAUUUACCCACCUCAUAUGAGACUGUAAAC